RNAcentral lists this ribosomal RNA (568 nucleotides) under uncultured bacterium. Its description in RNAcentral is "partial 16S ribosomal RNA". It matches the Rfam family "Bacterial small subunit ribosomal RNA", at positions 355 to 1375 of the family's 1533-position model. The record is from RNAcentral.
UGGGGAAUAUUGCACAAUGGGCGCAAGCCUGAUGCAACAACGCCGCGUGAGGGACGACGGCCUUCGGGUUGUAAACCUCUUUUAGUAGGGAAGAAGCGAAAGUGACGGUACCUGCAGAAAAAGCACCGGCUAACUACGUGCCAGCAGCCGCGGUAAUACGUAGGGUGCGAGCGUUGUCCGGAAUUAUUGGGCGUAAAGAGCUCGUAGGCGGUCUGUCGCGUCUGCUGUGAAAACCCGAGGCUCAACCUCGGGCCUGCAGUGGGUACGGGCAGACUAGAGUGCGGUAGGGGAGAAUGGAAUUCCUGGUGUAGCGGUGGAAUGCGCAGAUAUCAGGAGGAACACCGAUGGCGAAGGCAGUUCUCUGGGCCGUAACUGACGCUGAGGAGCGAAAGCGUGGGGAGCGAACAGGAUUAGAUACCCUGGUAGUCCACGCCGUAAACGUUGGGCGCUAGAUGUGGGGACCAUUCCACGGUUUCCGUGUCGCAGCUAACGCAUUAAGCGCCCCGCCUGGGGAGUACGGCCGCAAGGCUAAAACUCAAAUGAAUUGACGGGGUCAUAGCUGUUUCCU